This 440-nucleotide ribosomal RNA is filed under the name uncultured bacterium. RNAcentral's name for it is "partial 16S ribosomal RNA". It matches the Rfam family "Bacterial small subunit ribosomal RNA", at positions 338 to 795 of the family's 1533-position model. The record is from RNAcentral.
CCUACGGGAGGCAGCAGUGGGGAAUAUUUCACAAUGGGGUAAACCCUGAUGCAGCAACGCCGCGUGAGUGAUUUCGGCCUUCGGGUUGUAAAGCUCUGUCUUCAGUGACGAUUAUGACGGUACCUUAUGCGGACGCCACGGCUAACUACGUGACAGCAGCCGCGGUAAUACGUAGGUGGCGAGCGUUGUCCGGAUUUACUGGGCGUAAGGGGUGCGUAGUCGGACUUUUAAGUGAGAUGUGAAAUACUCGGGCUAAACUUGAGUGCUGCAUUUCAAACUGGCAGUCUAGAGUGCAGGAGAGGAGAAUGGAAUUACUAGUGUAGCGGUGAAAUGCGUAGAGAUUAGGAAGAACACCAGUGGCGAAGGCGAUUCUCUGGACUGUAACUGACGCUGAGGCUCGAAAGCGUGGGGAGCAAACAGGAUUAGAUACCCCUGUAGUC